GAUGAACGCUGGCGGCGUGCCUAAUACAUGCAAGUCGAGCGAACAGACGAGGAGCUUGCUCCUCUGACGUUAGCGGCGGACGGGUGAGUAACACGUGGAUAACCUACCUAUAAGACUGAGAUAACUUCGGGAAACCGGAGCUAAUACCGGAUAAUAUAUUGAACCGCAUGGUUCAAUAGUGAAAGACGGUUUUGCUGUCACUUAUAGAUGGAUCCGCGCCGCAUUAGCUAGUUGGUAAGGUAACGGCUUACCAAGGCAACGAUGCGUAGCCGACCUGAGAGGGUGAUCGGCCACACUGGAACUUAGACACGGUCCAGACUCCUACGGGAGGCAGCAGUAGGGAAUCUUCCGCAAUGGGCGAAAGCCUGACGGAGCAACGCCGCGUGAGUGAUGAAGGUCUUCGGAUCGUAAAACUCUGUUAUUAGGGAAGAACAAAUGUGUAAGUAACUAUGCACGUCUUGACGGUACCUAAUCAGAAAGCCACGGCUAACUACGUG
RNAcentral lists this ribosomal RNA (497 nucleotides) under uncultured bacterium. RNAcentral's name for it is "partial 16S ribosomal RNA". It matches the Rfam family "Bacterial small subunit ribosomal RNA", at positions 28 to 507 of the family's 1533-position model. The record is from RNAcentral.